Molecule: long non-coding RNA, 803 nt
Organism: Nicotiana tabacum (common tobacco)
Lineage: Eukaryota; Viridiplantae; Streptophyta; Magnoliopsida; Solanales; Solanaceae
Source: RefSeq, a predicted model, not a curated record
AUAAAAGGCUUUAGUCUAGGUUUUCAGCUCCAUAGUCCAAAUACGCAGUCUCCGUUGGCCAGGGAAUUUUCUUCCCAAAGCCAUCAUUGAUUCAUCGAGAGAAAUCAUUGCCUGAGGAGGAUCAACAGGAAACAAUAUUAAUUUCCGGAGACGGAAGACAAGAUGCCAUCGGCAGUGUUCUUGUUGUGGCUGCAAAGUUUGGAUAAGGCUAAGAAUGGCCUCCACUAAACGAGCUUGCUGAGCUUGAAAUGCUAAAAUCUAAGGGCCUCAACAUGAUGUCCAACCAAUAUGUUAAUUUCAAUAGAGAUUGAUGAAGCUGAGUUGACUUUUAAAAAAUUGGAAAUAUUUAUGCAGAUGUGGACGAGGGAAAAGUGUUGUGAUCGCAUGAGUUUAUUUGAUAAUGAUUUGAGGGAAUUCCUUGUUUUGCGGGAGCAACAGUCGUCCAAUUUACGUCCCAAAUGUUUCUAAUAUCAACUUCAACUCAGACAAAUAUGUGAUUUGAUUUGUCUGCAUUGAAUCAUUAUUAAAUUUACAUCUUUAUCUGAGUUGAUAAGAUGAUCCCUAAGACAUGUAUACUCCAUGAAAGAUUUCUCAAGAUGGUCUCCAUUGCAUCGGUGGCUUCAAAACAAGGGAUUUUCAUCAGUUCAUUUUGUAACUUGAUAUUGAAUGACUUGUGUUGAGAACGACAGUUUUCUUUUUCCAAAUUUGUAUUAAUAUUUGAUUUUUGAGAAGUUAACUCCAGCUCCAUCAAGCUCUCUUGCACUUUGAACGUGAAGAUAUGUUGAGUUCCUUAGUUUUUGUCA